GUGCCAGCAGCCGCGGUAAUUCCAGCUCCAAUAGCGUAUAUUAAAGUUGUUGUGGUUAAAAAGCUCGUAGUUGAACCUUGGGCCUGGCUGGCCGGUCCGCCUCACCGCGUGCACUGGUCCGGCCGGGCCUUUCCCUCUGUGGAACCCCAUACCCUUCACUGGGCGUGGCGGGGAAACAGGACAUUUACUUUGAAAAAAUUAGAGUGCUCCAGGCAGGCCUAUGCUCGAAUACAUUAGCAUGGAAUAAUAAAAUAGGACGCGCGGUUCUAUUUUGUUGGUUUAUAGGACCGCCGUAAUGAUUAAUAGGGACAGUCGGGGGCAUCAGUAUUCAACUGUCAGAGGUGAAAUUCUUGGAUCAGUUGAAGACUAACUACUGCGAAAGCAUUUGCCAAGGAUGUUUUCAUUAAUCAGGAACGAAAGUUAGGGGAUCGAAGACGAUCAGAUACCGUCGUAGUCUUAACCAUAAACUAUGCCGACUAGGGAUCGGACGGUGUUAUUCAUGACCCGUUCGGCACCUUACGAGAAAUCAAAGUGCUUGGGCUCCAGGGGGAGUAUGGUCGCAAGGCUGAAACUUAAAGAAAUUGACGGAAGGGCACCACCAGGGGUGGAGCCUGCGGCUUAAUUUGACUCAACACGGGGAAACUCACCAGGUCCAGACACAAUAAGGAUUGACAGAUUGAGAGCUCUUUCUUGAUUUUGUGGGUGGUGGUGCAUGGCCGUUCUUAGUUGGUGGGGUGACUUGUCUGCUUAAUUGCGAUAACGAACGAGACCUUAACCUGCUAAAUAGCCCGCAUUGCUCCGGCAGUGCGCUGGCUUCUUAGAGGGACUUU
This 830-nucleotide ribosomal RNA is filed under the name uncultured Ascomycota. RNAcentral's name for it is "SSU rRNA". It matches the Rfam family "Eukaryotic small subunit ribosomal RNA", at positions 564 to 1423 of the family's 1831-position model. Lineage: Eukaryota; Fungi; Ascomycota. The record is from RNAcentral.